UACGUAGGGUGCGAGCGUUGUCCGGAAUUAUUGGGCGUAAAGAGCUCGUAGGCGGUUUGUUGCGUCUAUCGUGAAAACCUGCAGCUUAACUGUGGGCUUGCGGUGGAUACGGGCAGACUUGAGUUCGGUAGGGGAGACUGGAAUUCCUGGUGUAGCGGUGAGAUGCGCAGAUAUCUGGAGGAACACCGGUGGCGAAGGCGGCAUCCUGGACCGGCAUUGACGCUGAGGCGCGAAAGCUAGGGGAGCAAACGGG
This 253-nucleotide ribosomal RNA is filed under the name uncultured bacterium. Its description in RNAcentral is "partial 16S ribosomal RNA". It matches the Rfam family "Bacterial small subunit ribosomal RNA", at positions 524 to 776 of the family's 1533-position model. The record is from RNAcentral.